This 253-nucleotide ribosomal RNA is filed under the name uncultured bacterium. Its description in RNAcentral is "partial 16S ribosomal RNA". It matches the Rfam family "Bacterial small subunit ribosomal RNA", at positions 524 to 776 of the family's 1533-position model. The record is from RNAcentral.
GACGUAGGGCGCGAGCGUUGUCCGGAAUUAUUGGGCGUAAAGAGCUCGUAGGCGGCUUGUCGCGUCGGCUGUGAAAUCCCGUGGCUCAACUGCGGGUCUGCAGCCGAUACGGGCAGGCUAGAGUUCGGUAGGGGAGACUGGAAUUCCUGGUGUAGCGGUGAAAUGCGCAGAUAUCAGGAGGAACACCGAUGGCGAAGGCAGGUCUCUGGGCCGAUACUGACGCUGAGGAGCGAAAGCGUGGGGAGCGAACAGG